AUUGCUGGGAUUACAGAUGUGAGCCACUGCUCCCGGCCACCAUUUUUUUUUUUUUAUCAUGACCAACAUAAAUUUUAGCCAUUAAACAACACUCUCCCUUCUGUCUUCUCCCUGUCUCCUGGCAAACUUUAUUCUGUUCUGUGUCUCUAUGAAUUUGACUACUCUAGCUACCUCAUGUAAGUGGAAUCAUACAAUACUUGUUCUUCUGUGUCUGGUUCAUUUCACUAAGCAUAAUGUUUUCGAGAUCCAUCCAUGUCAUGGCAUAUAUCAAAAUUCCAUCCCUUUAAAUUGGUCAAUAGUAUUCCACUGUAUAUAUAGACCACAUUUGGGUUAUCCAUUCAUCUGGUGAUGAGCACUUGGAUUGUUUCUACCUUUUGGCUGCUGUGAAUAAUGCUGCUAUAAACAUUGGUUUACAGAUAUCUGUUUGAGUCCCAACUCUCAGUUCUUUUGCUUAUAUACCUAGGAAUGGAAUUGCCGGAUCUUGUGGUAAUUGUAUGUUUAACAUUUUGAAGAACCGCCCAACCGUUUUCCAAGCAGCAGCACCAUUUUACAUUCCCACCAGCAAUGUGCAAGGGAUCCAGUUUCUGCACAUUCUUGCCGACACCUGUUAUUUCUCAAUUUUUUGUUUUGCAUUGUUUUUGUUUUUAUGGCCAUCUUAGGAGGUGGAAGGUGGUAUCUCAUUGUGCUUCUGAUUUUCAUUUCUCUGAUGACUGAUGAUACUGAGCCUAUUUUCAUGCGCUUAUUGGCCAUUUGUGUAUCUUCCUUGAAGAAAUGUCUAUUCAAGUUCCUUUGUCCAUUUUUGAAUUAGGUUGUUUGUUUUCUUUGUUGUUAACUUUUGUUGCUUGAAGCCAACAAGUUUGUGGUAAUUUGUGACACGAGCCCUAGAAAACGAAUACGUUGCUCAAAAUCCAGCCUCUUGGGCUGCAGGACCCCACGGUCAGGCAAUUUCUUCCAGAAGGCUGAGUAGCCAUACAGGUGACAUCAGCACUGACUUUAUUCACCUGCCAGUGGACGAAUUCUUCAGCUCUUCCCUUCCAAGGCCUGAGACCUGCAAGCCAAGAGGGCUCGAACACCAGUCUCCUCUUGAAUGUGCGCAUGCACAACUCUUUCAAGAGGUUUGGAAGUAAAAAGAAGGAGCAGGAUGGAGCAGCAGUUGAGGAGAGGAUUAUAAGAUCCCCUCUCUCAUCAGGAGGCGUUGCUGUGUUUGGUUGUUUGUCUUGAAAGGAUACGAAAACCUGAGUAUUUGUAUAGGCUGAGAGAAGAACCCAGGGGAGAGGGAGAGGGGACCUGAAAUAUCACAUCUGGAUGCCAAGCACAUCAUCUUUCUGUCUCACUGGUCAGAGUCACGGGAGCUUAGCCACGAAAGGGACCUUAGAGUUUAGCUCCUUCAUUUUGCAGAUAUAGAGAGAGCGGGCACAGAAGAGGACCUGCCCGGGGUACUUCUGCAGCCAGCUGCUUGCUCCUGACAUCCCAUAUGUCUAGGACUUCAUGGUGUGCCCUCUGGAAAGACAACUAUUUUUAACUGCCUUUUUUCACGUCUCCACAAGUUGUAAAAUAACUCUUCUAUUUCUUCUCUGUUCCUAUGCCCUUACCCGUCUUCCCAGAACACAAUGGCAUAUGAACCCUUUGUUCCUGCCAAAUGCAGCCGAGGAAGUGGGAAGGGCCAUUGGGUUGAGUGGACCAGGAGACUAUGCCCUGAUGACGGGGGAUGCUGCCAGGCUCGGCAGGCCUCUACUUCCCCUCUGCCUGUCCUCUGCCUCCCGGAGUAGGGAAAUCCAGGGAUCUCUAUUCCCCAGCAUUCCUUUCCAGCAUGGUUGUAAGUUAGAUUCUGGCAGUAAGAUGCACUUGCACAAGCGUCAGAAGCUGAAGGCGAGAGAAAGUCCUUCUCUGAAUUGGCCUGGGCAGAUGCGUGGUAGACGGCAGCUUUCAGACAAGCUCCUGCACGCUGUCUGCUUUCUGCUUUGGUGCUACAGGCAAUUGAGAUGAUCUCCAUGCCUUCUCUGCAAUCUGGCACUUCCUGAUUCUGUGAGGUCUGACAGUGGCUUCCCUGAUCUUCCCUAAUUCAGCCCUUCUGUCCAUUAUGAAUGCCUCUAAAUCCCUUGUAUGAAAACCCUGUGUAUUUGGAAUAUCUAGAGCAGCUUCCAGUAUUAUGACCAAACUCUGACUGACACACUGGCACAGAUAAAGAAGCUACAUAAAAUGAUGUGGGGGAAACAUCCUGUUCAAUCUUCUCGGCAGUGCUGAUGUUAGACUGUCAUUUUCCCAGUUUCAUAGAUUAGAAGCCUGAGGCUAAAGAGGUCAAGGUUGCCUGACUCCCAAGCCAUUCUCUUUCUGCUAGAUCAUUCUACUCUGCUUCUCUUAAUAGAUAGGGAGAAGCAGGCAUAAGAGGAAAGAGAAAAGCAGCAGGGGAGGACAUGACGGAGAUGGACAAAGGAAGAGGCGAGCAGACUUAUUUGAAGUAGAAAGGGAGAGAGGAGAGAGAAACUCCAAGGGUUCUGGAAAGUUGGAGAAACUUCUCAUAACCUCUCCUCAGACGGUGCUUUACAAGGUUACCCUUGCUCUUGGGCAACAGUAAUUAGCCAGGUAACAACCGUUCACAGCCCUUUGCCUGUUCUUUAUUCUCAGGCUUUUGAGAUUGCAGUGUGAACAGAAGACAUAGAAACCCACGGAGUGAAGAAUUCUUUGGGCUGCCCCAGCAAUGCAGAGCAGUGGUUCCCUGGAGAGUGGGUGGACUCAAGCAGAAGGGCAGCCCCAGCCCUGGGCUCAUGGGGAAUGGGAAUUAGGUUUGCCCUUGAACCCCAGGGUAGCUGGUGAAGGCUGUCUUGGAUAAUCUUCGGGAGCUCAAAGCAUCCCCAUCUCACCUUGGUAUCCUAGUCCUUCUGCUACUCCCGUGCUUGCCUUCCUGGGACAGUGACACUUGCAGUUCCUGCUGACUCGGAGUGCCCCUCCUUGCUCUGUGUCCUGUGAGAAAGCAGAUGAAUCCACUGUGCAGCAAUGAUGAGCAGCUGCUGGGCUGGAGAGACUGGGGCCAUUUUACACCAGGAUGUUACCCAGAAAUGCCUGGAAAGCAAGGAGCAGCUAUCAGAAUGUUUGGGGACGCAGCUCCUCCUGUCGUGGUUCCUUCAGCAUGGACUUCACAUUCAGCAGGCCCAUGAGGUGUUCCCUUUCGGAUGAGCUCCAAGGUCUUAAGAGAGCAUCUCUGGUCUCCAUGAGUCCCUCUGAACGACGGUCCUGAGCAAGAACCACCUAUAACCAUCGGCUCAAAUUAACUCAGGGGAAGUCAAAGCUUUCUAUGUGGAAGGUGACUGAAACCACAUACACAGACCACUGCAGCAUUCCUGACAUUAUGGAGCUUGGAAAUGAUUCCAAAUGCAAACAUAGCUUGCUACGUGAGUGACAUGUUUUUCUAUGACAAGAACUUGGAGUGUAAUCCUUCCCCCAUCAAGAAUGUGACAUCACACCUUAUCAGAUUGUAUGCAUGAGCUACCAACCUCAACCACUGAACUUCAAACUAUGUGAAAACCUAAGGGUUUGACAGACACUUUGAGAGCUUGGGCUGUGGCAAGCUACACUCUGUCAGCCUCUCUUCAACAGGGCCCCACCCUGCUAGCCUUUGAACUUGGAAGCCUCGCCUGCCAACACUGGUGCCGCCCUCUAGCAUUGACAGACCGUAUGUGUCUUUGUGAAUCUCCGUUGUGUUGGACGGCUUCUCUCCCAAGAGCUGCUCUUAUAAAAGAGACACGCCACACUUUAAUGAGCCUUCGCUCUCCACCGAGGCCUGCUUGCAUCCUAAUUGAGCAAGUAGACUUUAGUAACUUUGGAACUCAGUCACUCUGUGACUAAUACACCCCGUCUACCCAGAGCAUUCCCUGUGAGAUUUGUUCAUGUUGCUCUCCCCCUCCUUAAGCAUUGUGAACCUAGGACAAAUAUCAUCUUUGUAGGGCAAUAAACCAUGUGAUUUGUGAAAUCAUA
Molecule: long non-coding RNA, 3972 nt
Organism: Macaca mulatta (Rhesus monkey)
Lineage: Eukaryota; Metazoa; Chordata; Mammalia; Primates; Cercopithecidae
Source: RefSeq, a predicted model, not a curated record